UGGGGAAUUUUGCACAAUGGGGGAAACCCUGAUGCAGCGACGCCGCGUGAUUUAGAAGGCCUUCGGGUUGUAAAAAUCUUUUCUAUGGGAAGAAAAUGACAGUACCAUAGGAAUAAGUACCGGCUAAUUACGUGCCAGCAGCCGCGGUAAUACGUAAGGUCCGAGCGUUGUCCGGAAUCAUUGGGCGUAAAGGGUACGUAGGCGGGUAAGCAAGUUAGAAGUGAAAUCCUAUAGCUCAACUAUAGUAAGCUUUUAAAACUGCUCAUCUUGAGGUAUGGAAGGGAAAGUGGAAUUCCUAGUGUAGCGGUGAAAUGCGCAGAUAUUAGGAGGAAUACCGGUGGCGAAGGCGACUUUCUGGCCAUAACCUGACGCUGAGGUACGAAAGCGUGGGUAGCAAACAGG
This 402-nucleotide ribosomal RNA is filed under the name bacterium. Its description in RNAcentral is "partial 16S ribosomal RNA". It matches the Rfam family "Bacterial small subunit ribosomal RNA", at positions 355 to 776 of the family's 1533-position model. The record is from RNAcentral.